Molecule: small RNA, 28 nt
Filed under: Bombyx mori (domestic silkworm)
Lineage: Eukaryota; Metazoa; Arthropoda; Insecta; Lepidoptera; Bombycidae
Description: ovarian small RNA-12848
Source: RNAcentral
CAAGUACAAACUGUUUUCACAACUCAAG